CAGUCGCCGCGGGAAUACGAAGGGUGCAAGCGUUAAUCGGAAUUACUGGGCGUAAAGCGUGCGUAGGCGGUGAGUUAAGUCUGCUGUGAAAUCCCCGGGCUCAACCUGGGAAUGGCAGUGGAUACUGGUUCGCUAGAGUGUGUCAGAGGAUGGUGGAAUUCCCGGUGUAGCGGUGAAAUGCGUAGAGAUCGGGAGGAACAUCAGUGGCGAAGGCGGCCAUCUGGGACAACACUGACGCUGAGGCACGAAAGCGUGGGGAGCAAACAGGAUUAGAUACCCCCGUAGUCCCUGUCUCUUAUAC
Molecule: ribosomal RNA, 301 nt
Filed under: uncultured bacterium
Lineage: Bacteria
Description: partial 16S ribosomal RNA
Rfam family: Bacterial small subunit ribosomal RNA
Source: RNAcentral